Molecule: small RNA, 296 nt
Filed under: Sphingobacterium psychroaquaticum
Lineage: Bacteria; Pseudomonadati; Bacteroidota; Sphingobacteriia; Sphingobacteriales; Sphingobacteriaceae
Description: Sphingobacterium sp. MOL-1 5' ureB small RNA
Rfam family: 5' ureB small RNA
Source: Rfam by way of RNAcentral
CCGUCUCUACCUGUGCCGGACUGAUAAAGUGAAUGUGUGUAUCGAUACCGCCUGCCGUGAGGAUCAUCCCUGCACCACUGUGUACUUCGGUGGAAGCUCCGAUAACCAUCCCUGGGGUAACGCCGUCCUGUACAUCUGGAUUUCCAGCUUUACCGAUACCAACGAUCUUACCGUCUUUCAUGCCCACAUCAGCCUUCACAAUACCCCAAUGGUCAAUAAUAAUUACGUUAUUGAUACAAAAAUCGAGUACGUCCUCAUUACGUAAUGCACGAGCAGAUUGCCCCAUACCAUCGCGG